This 377-nucleotide ribosomal RNA is filed under the name uncultured eukaryote. RNAcentral's name for it is "partial 18S ribosomal RNA". It matches the Rfam family "Eukaryotic small subunit ribosomal RNA", at positions 592 to 976 of the family's 1831-position model. The record is from RNAcentral.
CAAUAGCGUAUAUUUAAGUUGUUGCAGUUAAAAAGCUCGUAGUUGGAUUUCGGGUGGGACGCAGCGGUCUCGCAUUGCGUUUGUACUGCUGCAGCCCUCCUUCUUGCCGGGGGCGGCCUCUCGGACUUCACUGUCUGGGGUCAGAAUCGGCGAUGUUACUUUGAGUAAAUUAGAGUGUUCAAAGCAAGCUUACGCUCUGAAUAUAAUAGCAUGGGAUAACACGACAGGACUCUGGCCUAUCGUGUUGGUCUAUAGGACCAGAGUAAUGAUUAAGAGGGACAGUCGGGGGCAUUCGUAUUCCGUUGUCAGAGGUGAAAUUCUUGGAUUUACGGAAGACGAACAUCUGCGAAAGCAUUUGCCAAGGAUGUUUUCAUUGA